This 32-nucleotide non-coding RNA is filed under the name Mus musculus (house mouse). The record is from RNAcentral. Lineage: Eukaryota; Metazoa; Chordata; Mammalia; Rodentia; Muridae.
UGCUUCACUGACACCCAUAGGGGUACCUGGCA